AGUGGCUCAGUGGUAGAGUGCUUGCCUUGCAUGCAUGAGGCCUUGGGUUCGAUUCCUCAGCACUA
This 65-nucleotide transfer RNA is filed under the name Dipodomys ordii (Ord's kangaroo rat). It matches the Rfam family "tRNA". Rfam says of the family: Transfer RNA (tRNA) molecules are approximately 80 nucleotides in length. Their secondary structure includes four short double-helical elements and three loops (D, anti-codon, and T loops). The record is from Rfam by way of RNAcentral. Lineage: Eukaryota; Metazoa; Chordata; Mammalia; Rodentia; Heteromyidae.